CCUAGAGGUUGUAGGCUUUGCCUGCUAUCUCUUACCCAUGUCUUUUGAGUACCUUACGUUUCCUCGGUGGGUUCGCCCACCGAUUGGACAAACUUAAACCCUUUGCAGUUGAAAUCAGCGUCUGAAAAAACUUAAUAGUUA
This 141-nucleotide unclassified non-coding RNA is filed under the name soil metagenome. Its description in RNAcentral is "partial internal transcribed spacer 1". The record is from RNAcentral.